AAUGGGCGAAAGCCUGACGGAGCAACGCCGCGUGAGGGAUGAAGGCCUCUGGGCUGUAAACCUCUUUUAUCAAGGAAGAAGAUCUGACGGUACUUGAUGAAUAAGCCACGGCUAAUUCCGUGCCAGCAGCCGCGGUAAUACGGGAGUGGCAAGCGUUAUCCGGAAUUAUUGGGCGUAAAGCGUCCGCAGGCGGCCCUUCAAGUCUGCUGUUAAAAAGUGGAGCUUAACUCCAUCAUGGCAGUGGAAACUGUUGGGCUUGAGUGUGGUAGGGGCAGAGGGAAUUCCCGGUGUAGCGGUGAAAUGCGUAGAUAUCGGGAAGAACACCAGUGGCGAAGGCGCUCUGCUGGGCCAUCACCGCCGCUCAUGGACGAAAGCCAGGGGAGCGAAAGGGAUU
RNAcentral lists this ribosomal RNA (394 nucleotides) under uncultured Gammaproteobacteria bacterium. RNAcentral's name for it is "bacterial SSU rRNA". It matches the Rfam family "Bacterial small subunit ribosomal RNA", at positions 370 to 779 of the family's 1533-position model. The record is from RNAcentral. Lineage: Bacteria; Pseudomonadati; Pseudomonadota; Gammaproteobacteria.